UACGUAGGGUGCAAGCGUUAAUCGGAAUUACUGGGCGUAAAGAGUGCGCAGGCGGUUGUGCAAGACAGAUGUGAAAUCCCCGGGCUUAACCUGGGAACUGCAUUUGUGACUGCACGGCUAGAGUGUGUCAGAGGGGGGUAGAAUUCCACGUGUAGCAGUGAAAUGCGUAGAUAUGUGGAGGAAUACCGAUGGCGAAGGCAGCCCCCUGGGAUAACACUGACGCUCAUGCACGAAAGCGUGGGGAGCAAACAGG
This 253-nucleotide ribosomal RNA is filed under the name uncultured bacterium. RNAcentral describes it as "partial 16S ribosomal RNA". It matches the Rfam family "Bacterial small subunit ribosomal RNA", at positions 524 to 776 of the family's 1533-position model. The record is from RNAcentral.